This is a non-coding RNA of Pelobates cultripes (western spadefoot toad), 884 nucleotides long. The record is from the annotation of a GenBank genome assembly. Lineage: Eukaryota; Metazoa; Chordata; Amphibia; Anura; Pelobatidae.
CCUUUUCCACGCAUGUAAAUAUGGUUCUUUUCUUCUGUUUUUGGUGUUCCUGAUACGUUUUUACUCCCGGUAUCCGUCUCCUCCUCUGCGUUUAUCUAAUUCCAGGAUUCCUCUUUGUAGUACGGGAUGGUCCCUCUCCUGGCUGUACCUCUCCUGCCUCCCUAUGGUCCCUCUCCUCUACUAGAUCUGCACCCUCUGUUUUUAUGCCUGGACCUCCUCCUUUCCUGGAUGUGGCUGGUCCCUUUGCUCUCCUGCUUCCGGCUAGUUCCUCUCUUCUCCUGGCCGGACACCGUCCUGUCUUUAGCUUGGCCCUUUCUCCCCUAGCUCUGGCUAGACCCCAAUCUCUCCUGGCUCGGACUGGGCCUUCUCCUGGCACUGAUCACACACUUUUCUGGAUGUAGCUUUAUCCUCUACCAUGUACUGGCCAGAUUCUGUUUUCUUGCUGCAAGCUGGACCCUCUCCUGGCACCGACUGGCCCUUCUUUGUCUCCUAAUACUUUCCCAUAACUCUCCUUCUGUGUAAGAUGCUCUCUCUUUCCCUCAGGAUUUAAAACCAACACAGACUGAGAAGGGGGGCUCUGUGUCAGUGUGUAUGUGCAGAGUGCCACAUAUACAAUUAUAGUGAAAAGGACAAACACCUAAUCAAAUACACACAUCAGGCAACAGAGGGCUGCCACAGCAGAAGGAAUGUGUCCACAUCUGUCUUCCAGAUUCCAGCUAUCAGAGAGUCUAACCCAAAGUUGUUAUUUAUGGGCCAGAUGUUAUUAACUAAGUCAGGUGGGGGUAGAACAGGGUUAAUUAGUAGCAGAAAUAAGCUUCUUUCUACCAACUCCCAUCACUCCCUCCCAGUGGAUCACCAGGAACGUGACGACCUUUAUAGCGACG